AGGUACAUAGAAAUAGAUCCACAUACAUACUCCAUGUCAGUCUUUGAAAACACACAUGCACUUUCUUGUGCAUAUGGGUACUUUUUAAAACAAAUGAAAUGUGAUAUUUAGUACAUAGAAAACAAUGUCUUGAUGUCUUGAUGUCAUUACUAGGAACUCAUCACAUGUAUAAUCACUUUUUUUGUUUUGUUUUGUUUUAAAGGACAAAAACUAUGGGUCCAAAUAUAAAGUGAAAGUUCCAGUAAAUUGAAAUGGAAACAUUUUAAAAUGAGUCACAAUGAGUGAAAAAUUGGGAUUCUUUCAUGAAAUUACUCUAAUUCCUUUACGUGUUCUUGCAUAGCUCUAAGUGUGCCUAUUGACUUUCAAACAUGAUACAAUAACAAUUGUCCAUAUCCCAAACAAAAUCAGGGAGAUAGAUUUCACAAAAUUUUAGUCUCAACAAGUAGUUAGUUAAACAAAAAUCAUUAAAUCUUACUAAAAAUAACUUUAUGAAAAGCAUUUUGUUAAUAAAAUCUUGUAUCAUUUUCUAUUAAAUUUUACCAUUUAACCUUUCCUUAAAGGCAGAUCAUUGUCAAUAUGUAGCCUAUUAUCUCAGUUGUCUUUUAAUUCUCCUAAUGUACCAGUUUCACUUGGAUUUUAUUCUCCAAUAUUUAUUCUCUCUCUUUCCCCGUAAUAUUGGUAGUAUUAGAUUCAUUUUUGUAACCCUAAAGUUUUUCUAUCUAAUCCUACUUGAAACAAAUUCCAUCCAACAUAACCUCAUGUUGUAAUGGUAUUAUCUUCAUAAAUCUUCCCAUGUUCUACCUUUUCACAGUUGCAAUUAGAUACUAAAUACUUCCCCACACACAUAUGCACUAACAUGCCACGAAACACAGCCCAAAGUAAAGUCUCAAUUAAUUUAGUCAGUGAUAUGAAAUCUAAUUAAAAGUAUGUCUAGCAUGCAACUUGCUUCACUGUGUACUCCCAUGGAGUCUAAGGUAAAAGAUAUUUACAUAAUCUCAAAUUAUCUUCCCACAAGUUGCAGAUCAUUUCUAAGGAGACAACAAACAAUAGCUUUAGACCAGAAAACUCAAAAGACUGUAGUAUCUCUGCAAAAAAAUAAAUAACGUGAAUUUACUCACAGAGGCAAAGUCAGAUAACUCCAAACUAAGGCCCAUUCCUCACAAGUUCUGCGUGUGAUUCAAGAAAAGCAAAGAAAGAAAAGCAGUUCUGAUAAAGGAAUGGCUUACUUGUUAUGCCAGUAAAUGUGCCAAGUGCUCCUGAAUCAAGCAUUAGUGGGAAAACAACAAAAGUUAAAUAAAACUUAUAUU
RNAcentral lists this long non-coding RNA (1307 nucleotides) under Mus musculus (house mouse). Its description in RNAcentral is "long non-coding RNA chr7:94348311-94349618". Lineage: Eukaryota; Metazoa; Chordata; Mammalia; Rodentia; Muridae. The record is from RNAcentral.